AGGAGUCCGGGGAGAAGAGGGAGACAUGAGGCUUACUUUCAUUCACCAGGCAAGAGCCCCCGCAACCACGCUGGUGAGCAGGCUGGGUCUUGGGAGAAGAGGGAGACAUGAGGCUUACUUUCAUUCACCAGGCAAGAGGCCCCGCAACCACGUUGGUGAGCAGGCUGGGUCUUGGGCAAUAUGCACUAUGGGUGGGAGAAAUUUCCCUCUACACUGGCUUAUGAUUCCAAGUAACUUGAAUGUAGAAAACAGGAAAGAGAAAGGCUUACGGCAUCGCAAAGGGUCACACACGGCUCUGAGAAGUCUCAUCCCACUGCACACAGUGGCACACACCUAUGAACCCAGGAGCGGGGCUCUGAGAGUCCCCGUACUGUGUGGACAAUGUAGCCGAUUCCUGCAGAGCUCUGCAGCAGGGGCUGCACAGCCGGAGACGUGGGGAAGUUACAGGGAAAACUGGCUUCAGGACAGAGGCCACAUGUGAGCAACCCUAAUGCUAUUGUGGUGUCAGUGGACUGCCUAUAAAGACAACACAUAGGACAGGAUUGACGAUGCUUACACAUAAGAAAGCAGCUGGACUGGGCCUGUAUUGCUAGUUUCAUUCGCCAGUCCUCGCUGGCUAGAAACUUCCCAGGAUGUUCUUCCCCUAAAUUCCAAGGAGACACUGACACAAUCACUUUGUUUUACUCUCACUGUUGAAAGACAGCUCAGCUCCAGUGGUAGUUGUCUGCCUCAGAUCUCUGAAUAUAUUAUUCCACUCUGGCUUGUAUCAUGGCUGGUAAGAAAAUCUCCUAUUGUCUUUCUUUUUUUAAGUUGACCUGUGUCUUUAUUUGCUUUUAAGAAAUUUGCUUUGGAACUCAAUAGUUUUUCUAAGCUAUACUUAGGUAUAUCUUUCUUUUCGUCUUUUAAAAACCAUCUUUAUUGCGAUAUAAUUCACAUACUGCACAACGCAUCCCCUGAAAGUAUACAGUCUAAUGGAUUUUAGCACAUUCAUAAAUAUGAGCAACCUGCACUAUAUUUAGAACAUUUUCAUCCCCUCAGAAGAAAUAUCUUGUACUCUUUAGCUAUGUUUCUUAUCCCCCUACUUCCUAACCCCUAAGCAACCACUAACUGGUGUCUACAGAUCUGCCUAGACAUUUCACACAGCGUCGUAUAAUGUGGAGACUUUAGUGCUCUGACCGCUCCCCCCCACCCCCCGGCCCCGGCAGAAUGCCUAAGACCAUGGUUGUACUAAUACUUUUAUGUGUUUUCUAUUAAUUUCUCCAAGUUUUUCUUUUUAUUUAAGAGAUUUCACAUUUUCGGGCAGUUUUAGGUCCACAGCAAAAUUAAGUGGGGAUUUCAGAGCUCUCACACACUCCUCACCCUACCCAUGCUCAGCCCCGCUACCACCGUUAACGUCCUACACCAGACAGCUGUGUCUGUUACAGACGCUGAAUCGGCACUGACAAACCUCAUCCUCGAGUCCACGCUAACAUCGGGGUUCACUUUGUAUACUCAAUGCAUUGUGACAAAUGUGUCCCACACGGUGUCACACACAGUAACUUCACUGCCUACAAACCCUCUGUUCUGGCCACUCAUUCCUUCCUCCCCACUAAACACUGGAAACAUUGACUUUUUACUGUGGCCAAAGUUUUGCUUUUUUCCAGAAUGUCACAGUUGGAAUUUUAUGCUAAGCAGCCUUUUCAGUUAGACUCCUCCACUUAGUAAUAUGAUUUAGAUUCCUCUACGCCUUUUCAAUGGCUUGAUAGCUCAUUUCUUUUUAGUGCUGAAUACUUUUCUAUGUCUGGAUGCACUGCAGUUUAUUUACCCACUCAUCUACUGAGUAACAUCUUGGUUGCUUCCAAGUUUUGGCAAUUAUGAAUAAAGCUCCAAAAAUAUGUCUGUUUUUUGGGUUUUUUUUGGUACCGGGGAUGGAACUCGGGUCCUUGUGCUUGCGAGGCAGGCGGCGGAACCACUGAGCUAAAUCCCCAGCCCCAAAAAUAUGUAUGGAGGUUUUGGUGUGGACAUGUCUUCAUGCCCUCUGGGUAAACAUCAAGGAGCACGAUGAAUGUAUGCUUAAUUUUGAAAGAAACUGCCAAAUGCUCUUCCCAACUGGCUGUACUGUUUUGCAUUCCCACCAGCAAUGAAUGAGAAUUCCUGUUGCCUCACAUCUUCAGCAGCAGCUAGUAGUGUUAGUGCUCUGGAUUUUGGUCUUUCUAAAUAAGUCAUCUCCCUGUUGCACUUUUUUGCAUUUUCCUAACGACAUGUAAUGUACAGCAUCUUUUCAUUGACUUGUCUGUCUGUAUACCUUCUUUGGUGAGAUGCCUGUUCAGGUUUUUUGCCUAUUUUUCAGUUAAGUUGUUUGCUCAUUGUUGAGUUUUAAAAGUUCUCUGUAUACUUUAGAUAACAGAUCUUAAUCAAAUAUGCCUUUUGUAAAUGUUUUCCUCCAGCCUGUGACUUGUUCUUUCACUCUCUGGAUGUCUCCAAUUUUUCCUGAUCAAUGAUAACACCACAGUGGAUGUUUUUAUCCAGACCUCCCUGUUCACAUGCAUGAGCGUUUCUGUAAGGUGGCCUCUGGAGGUGGAAUUUUUGAGGGACAAUGGAACUAAAAUUUGGGAUUUUCCACACAGCUGACCUGAAAACAAAAAGGAACAGCUUAAUCCACUGUCCUACUACCAGCUAAAAAGAAUAAUUAAGUUUACUUACCAUUGGCAAAACUCUGUCCAACAUAGUACUGUAACUCUUU
This is a non-coding RNA of Heterocephalus glaber (naked mole-rat), 2722 nucleotides long. The record is from RefSeq and is a predicted model, not a curated record. NCBI's taxonomy places the organism in Eukaryota, Metazoa, Chordata, Mammalia, Rodentia, Bathyergidae.